GGCGCCGACCUGGUGAAGGUCGACGCC
Couchioplanes caeruleus subsp. caeruleus is the source of this 27-nucleotide regulatory RNA element. It matches the Rfam family "ribosomal frameshift site". The record is from Rfam. Lineage: Bacteria; Bacillati; Actinomycetota; Actinomycetes; Micromonosporales; Micromonosporaceae.